This 328-nucleotide long non-coding RNA is filed under the name Salvia miltiorrhiza (redroot sage). RNAcentral's name for it is "long non-coding RNA (SMIL_LNC000201)". The record is from RNAcentral. Lineage: Eukaryota; Viridiplantae; Streptophyta; Magnoliopsida; Lamiales; Lamiaceae.
AGGUCCCGAGAAUGCAGAAGGAGAGGACGUCAGGAGUGGGUGGAGAAGGAUGAAAAAGAGAUGACGGAGAAGGCGGGGAGACAGAGGAAUGAUGGAAAGCAGUGUGAAGGAAAGGAAAGUAUGCAUAGCAUCGUUAGAGAUAAUCAUGAGAUGCAACUAUACAUACUAUCCGAAGAGCGAGGAGACAGACGAGAAGAGAGGAAUUAGAAGUGCGAGAGGAGGGGAGGAGAAACGAAGGAAAUGUAUGGCGAGGCGUUCAUGAAAGAAUUGGAUCAGAACACGCUUUCGUCAUACAUGGGAGAGAAGAAGAUGUGAAGAUGGAUAAUCG